Molecule: long non-coding RNA, 239 nt
Organism: Arabidopsis thaliana (thale cress)
Lineage: Eukaryota; Viridiplantae; Streptophyta; Magnoliopsida; Brassicales; Brassicaceae
Product: other RNA
Exons: 1
Source: RefSeq
AUCCGGUUGUGUUGUGUUCUAUAUACCGUCUAUUUUUGUACUAAAUCACAUUUGUUUGCCUGUCUUGAAUUGCUCUCACUCACUGCCAGUUUUGUGUUGUUUAUUUUUUCUUUUGUUCUGCGAUUGAAUAUAAAUAUUGAACGCUGCCAAAAAAGAAUACACAGUGAACUUGUAAAUACAAUUAUACGAAGAAAGGCGUUACACGUUUGCCUAUCUUUAGCAAGUGGUUUUGUGUUGGU